CCUACGGGUGACAGCAGUGAGGAAUAUUGGUCAAUGGGCGACAGCCUGAACCAGCCAAGUCGCGUGAGGGAAGACGGUCCUAUGGAUUGUACACCUCUUUUGCCGGGGAGCAAAAAGCGGUACGUGUACCGCAUCGAGAGUACCCGGCGAAAAAGCAUCGGCUAACUCCGCGCCAGCAGCCGCGGUAAUACGGGGGAUGCGAGCGGUAUCCGGAUUUAUUGGGUUUAAAGGCUGCGCAGGCGGCGCGUUAAGUCAGCGGUAAAAUGUCGGGGCUCAACCCCGGCAAGCCGUUGAAACUGGCUUGCUAGAGUGGGCGAGAAGUAUGCGGAAUGCGUGGUGUAGCGGUGAAAUGCAUAGAUAGCACGCAGAACUCCGAUUGCGAAGGCAGCAUACCGGCGCCCAACUGACGCUCAGGCACGAAAGCGUGGGUAUCGAACAGGAUUAGAUACCCUGGUAGUC
RNAcentral lists this ribosomal RNA (459 nucleotides) under uncultured bacterium. Its description in RNAcentral is "partial 16S ribosomal RNA". It matches the Rfam family "Bacterial small subunit ribosomal RNA", at positions 338 to 795 of the family's 1533-position model. The record is from RNAcentral.